GUCUUGGCACAGUGGUAAUGCGUCUCACUCGUAUGCAUAUGAGUCUUACGCCCAUGAGAAGAUCAGUGGUUCGAUUCCACUAGGGGGCA
This is a non-coding RNA of Bacidia gigantensis, 89 nucleotides long. The record is from the annotation of a RefSeq genome assembly. NCBI's taxonomy places the organism in Eukaryota, Fungi, Ascomycota, Lecanoromycetes, Lecanorales, Ramalinaceae.